AUUGAACGCUGGCGGCAUGCCUUACACAUGCAAGUCGAACGGUAACAGGUCUUCGGAUGCUGACGAGUGGCGAACGGGUGAGUAAUACAUCGGAACGUGCCUAGUAGUGGGGGAUAACUACUCGAAAGAGUGGCUAAUACCGCAUGAGAUCUACGGAUAAAAGCAGGGGAUCGCAAGACCUUGUGCUACUAGAGCGGCCGAUGGCAGAUUAGGUAGUUGGUGGGAUAAAAGCUUACCAAGCCGACGAUCUGUAGCUGGUCUGAGAGGACGAUCAGCCACACUGGGACUGAGAAACGGCCCGGAAUCCUACGGGAGGCAGCAGUGGGGAAUUUUGGACAAUGGGCGCAAGCCUGAUCCCGCAAUGCCGCGUGCAGGAUGAAGGCCUUCGGGUUGUAAACUGCUUUUGUACGGAACGAAAAGCCCCGGGUUAAUACCCUGGGGUCAUGACGGUACCGUAAGAAUAAGCACCGGCUAACUACGUGCCAGCCGCCGCAGUAA
Molecule: ribosomal RNA, 498 nt
Filed under: uncultured bacterium
Lineage: Bacteria
Description: partial 16S ribosomal RNA
Rfam family: Bacterial small subunit ribosomal RNA
Source: RNAcentral